This 346-nucleotide ribosomal RNA is filed under the name Serratia sp. 154S. RNAcentral's name for it is "bacterial SSU rRNA". It matches the Rfam family "Bacterial small subunit ribosomal RNA", at positions 1028 to 1374 of the family's 1533-position model. Lineage: Bacteria; Pseudomonadati; Pseudomonadota; Gammaproteobacteria; Enterobacterales; Yersiniaceae. The record is from RNAcentral.
UCUGAGACAGGUGCUGCAUGGCUGUCGUCAGCUCGUGUUGUGAAAUGUUGGGUUAAGUCCCGCAACGAGCGCAACCCUUAUCCUUUGUUGCCAGCGGUUCGGCCGGGAACUCAAAGGAGACUGCCAGUGAUAAACUGGAGGAAGGUGGGGAUGACGUCAAGUCAUCAUGGCCCUUACGAGUAGGGCUACACACGUGCUACAAUGGCGUAUACAAAGAGAAGCGACCUCGCGAGAGCAAGCGGACCUCAUAAAGUACGUCGUAGUCCGGAUUGGAGUCUGCAACUCGACUCCAUGAAGUCGGAAUCGCUAGUAAUCGUAGAUCAGAAUGCUACGGUGAAUACGUUCC